RNAcentral lists this ribosomal RNA (292 nucleotides) under uncultured bacterium. RNAcentral describes it as "partial 16S ribosomal RNA". The record is from RNAcentral.
GGACUACUAGGGUUUCUAAUCCUGUUCGCUCCCCACGCUUUCGCGCCUCAGUGUCAGUAAUGGUCCAGGAAGUCGCCUUCGCCACUGGUGUUCCUUCCAAUAUCUACGCAUUUCACCGCUACACUGGAAAUUCCACUUCCCUCUCCCAUACUCUAGCCAAUCAGUUUCAAAUGCAAUUCCUAGGUUAAGCCCAGGGAUUUCACAUCUGACUUAAUUGACCACCUACGCGCCCUUUACGCCCAGUAAUUCCGAUUAACGCUUGCACCCUCUGUAUUACCGCGGCUGCUGGCAC